RNAcentral lists this transfer RNA (80 nucleotides) under Lysobacter enzymogenes. RNAcentral describes it as "tRNA-Ile". It matches the Rfam family "tRNA". From Rfam's summary of the family: Transfer RNA (tRNA) molecules are approximately 80 nucleotides in length. Their secondary structure includes four short double-helical elements and three loops (D, anti-codon, and T loops). Further hydrogen bonds mediate the characteristic L-shaped molecular structure. tRNAs have two regions of fundamental functional importance: the anti-codon, which is responsible for specific mRNA codon recognition, and the 3' end, to which the tRNAs corresponding amino acid is attached (by aminoacyl-tRNA synthetases). tRNAs cope with the degeneracy of the genetic code in two manners: having more than one tRNA (with a specific anti-codon) for a particular amino acid; and 'wobble' base-pairing, i.e. permitting non-standard base-pairing at the 3rd anti-codon position. The record is from RNAcentral. Lineage: Bacteria; Pseudomonadati; Pseudomonadota; Gammaproteobacteria; Lysobacterales; Lysobacteraceae.
GGGUCUGUAGCUCAGGUGGUUAGAGCGCACCCCUGAUAAGGGUGAGGCCGGUGGUUCGAGUCCUCCCAGACCCACCACCC